UACGUAGGGUGCAAGCGUUAAUCGGAAUUACUGGGCGUAAAGCGUGCGCAGGCGGUAAUGUAAGACAGGUGUGAAAUCCCCGGGCUUAACCUGGGAACUGCAUUUGUGACUGCAUUGCUGGAGUGCGGCAGAGGGGGAUGGAAUUCCGCGUGUAGCAGUGAAAUGCGUAGAUAUGCGGAGGAACACCGAUGGCGAAGGCAAUCCCCUGGGCCUGCACUGACGCUCAUGCACGAAAGCGUGGGGAGCAAACAGG
RNAcentral lists this ribosomal RNA (253 nucleotides) under uncultured bacterium. RNAcentral's name for it is "partial 16S ribosomal RNA". It matches the Rfam family "Bacterial small subunit ribosomal RNA", at positions 524 to 776 of the family's 1533-position model. The record is from RNAcentral.